RNAcentral lists this ribosomal RNA (819 nucleotides) under Mandarina mandarina. Its description in RNAcentral is "partial 16S ribosomal RNA". Lineage: Eukaryota; Metazoa; Mollusca; Gastropoda; Stylommatophora; Camaenidae. The record is from RNAcentral.
UCACGAAGUAGUUUUGAGCUAAAUGUAUUAUAAUAAUAGUUAUAAAAUAAAGAUGUUAUAAAAUCUUAUAAAUAAAUAAAUUUAGGGGUGAUAGGCCUUUCAAAAACUAAGAUAUCUUGAAUCUAAUUAAAAAUAUUUAGUACAUUAGGACAACUAUAAAGUGAUUAGGCUUUAUAGAAGUAUUAAAUUAUAAUAUUUUUAUUACUAUAGUUUAAUAAUUAAGUAGAUUUUAAAAUUAAUAUACAUAUAUUAUUAUUUAUAAGGAGUAUUUAGAUAAAAUAUAGUUAUGAAUUUUUAUGAUAAUGUUAAUAUUAGUAUUAGGUAUAUAUUUAUUUAAUGAACUCGGCAAUAUUACUUUUCAACUGUUUAUCAAAAACAUAACUAUGUGAAAUAAAUACAUAGCAAUUUCUGCUCAAUGAUUGUUUUAAAUAGCCGCAGUAUUCUGACUGUGCAAAGGUAGCAUAAUCAAUUGACUUUUAAUUGAAGUCUAGAAUGAAUGAAAAUAAUGGAAAGCUACUAUAUAUUAUGAAUACAUAUAAAUUAUUUAUAAAGUGAAAAUACUUUUAAAAACAUAAUAGACGAGAAGACCCUAGAAAAUUUAAGUAAUAAAAUUAAUAUUUAAGAAAUUUUUUGUUGGGGCGACAGAGUAGCAUUUAACCUACUUAAGAUAACUUGCACUAUAUAUAUUGUUUGAGAAAUUUACUCUAGGGAUAACAGCAUAAUAUUUUUAAAGUUUAUGACCUCGAUGUUGGACUAGGAAAUAAUAACUUAAAAGGUUAUUUAUAUUUGCUCUGUUCGAGCUUCAAUUCCUACAUGAUC